This 249-nucleotide ribosomal RNA is filed under the name uncultured bacterium. RNAcentral's name for it is "partial 16S ribosomal RNA". It matches the Rfam family "Bacterial small subunit ribosomal RNA", at positions 15 to 258 of the family's 1533-position model. The record is from RNAcentral.
GAUCAUGGCUCAGGACGAACGCUGGCGGCGUGCCUAACACAUGCAAGUCGAACGGAGAUACUGAAUUUCGGUUUAGUAUCUUAGUGGCGCACGGGUGAGUAACGCGUGAACAACUUGACCUCAGAGGGGAGUAACAGCGAGAAAUACGGUGCUAAUACCGCAUGAGACCACAAGCCCGCCAUGGAGAAGGGGUCGAAAGGAGGAAUCCGCUGAAGGAGAGGUUCGCGUCCCACUAGUAGUUGGCGGGAG